UACGUAUGGGGCAAGCGUUAUCCGGAUUUACUGGGUGUAAAGGGAGCGCAGGCGGCCUGGCAAGCCUGAUGUGAAAUACCGGGGCCCAACCCCGGGGCUGCAUUGGGAACUGCCAGGCUGGAGUGCCGGAGAGGCAGGCGGAAUUCCUAGUGUAGCGGUGAAAUGCGUAGAUAUUAGGAGGAACACCAGUGGCGAAGGCGGCCUGCUGGACAGCAACUGACGCUGAGGCGCGAAAGCGUGGGGAGCAAACAGG
Molecule: ribosomal RNA, 253 nt
Filed under: uncultured bacterium
Lineage: Bacteria
Description: partial 16S ribosomal RNA
Rfam family: Bacterial small subunit ribosomal RNA
Source: RNAcentral